CAGUAGCCGCGGUAAUACGAAGGGUGCAAGCGUUAAUCGGAAUUACUGGGCGUAAAGCGUGCGUAGGCGGCUUCUUAAGUCGGAUGUGAAAUCCCUGAGCUUAACUUAGGAAUUGCAUUCGAUACUGGGAAGCUAGAGUAUGGGAGAGGAUGGUAGAAUUCCAGGUGUAGCGGUGAAAUGCGUAGAGAUCUGGAGGAAUACCGAUGGCGAAGGCAGCCAUCUGGCCUAAUACUGACGCUGAGGUACGAAAGCAUGGGGAGCAAACAGGAUUAGAUACCCCCGUAGUCCCUGUCUCUUAUAC
This 301-nucleotide ribosomal RNA is filed under the name uncultured bacterium. RNAcentral describes it as "partial 16S ribosomal RNA". It matches the Rfam family "Bacterial small subunit ribosomal RNA", at positions 509 to 807 of the family's 1533-position model. The record is from RNAcentral.